UACGGGGGGGGCAAGCGUUGUUCGGAAUUACUGGGCGUAAAGGGCUCGUAGGCGGCCAACUAAGUCGGAUGUGAAAUCCCCAAGCUAAACUUGGGAACUGCAUCCGAUACUGGAUGGCUUGAAUCCGGGAGAGGGAUGCAGAAUUCCAGGUGUAGCGGUGAAAUGCGUAGAUAUCUGGAGGAAUACCGGUGGCGAAGGCGGCAUCCUGGACCGGCAUUGACGCUGAGGAGCGAAAGCUAGGGGAGCAAACGGG
This 253-nucleotide ribosomal RNA is filed under the name uncultured bacterium. RNAcentral describes it as "partial 16S ribosomal RNA". It matches the Rfam family "Bacterial small subunit ribosomal RNA", at positions 524 to 776 of the family's 1533-position model. The record is from RNAcentral.